UAAGCGGAGGAGAAGAAACUAACCAGGAUUUCCCUAGUAGCGGCGAGCGAACCGGAAAGAGCCCAGCUUGAAAAUCGGGAUGCCUCGGUACCCCGAGUUGUAGUCUGGAGAUGCAUCCUCUGCAACGCACCAGACCCAAGUUCCCUGGAAAGGGACGUCGGAGAGGGUGACAACCCCGUCGAGUCUGGACCGUGUCGCUCCACGAGGUGCAGUCUACGAGUCGGGCUGUUUGGGAAUGCAGCCCUAAGUGGGUGGUAAAUUCCAUCCAAGGCUAAAUAUUGGCAAGAGACCGAUAGCGAACAAGUACCGCGAGGGAAAGAUGAAAAGGACUUUGAAAAGAGAGUUAAAAAGUGCUUGAAAUUGCUGGGAGGGAAGCGAAUGGAAGCUGCGGGUGUGCCCCGGUUGGAUGUGGAACGGCCUCCUGCGUAAGGGGCUGGUCCGCCGCUCAACGCGGGGCACUGGUCAGCGUGGGCUACCGAGGCGGGACAAGAGCGGGGUACUGAGUGUCCCUGCCGAUGCCGUCGCGGUGGCCGAGGAACGAAGUGCGCGCCGACUGUUAAAGGGAGGCGUCCCCCCCUCAAAGGGGGAACUGCGCACUCGGGACGCUGGCGUAUUGAGCUCUUCAUCCGACCCGUCUUGAAACACGGACCAAGGAGUCUAACAUGUAUGCGAGCCGGUGGGCGGCAAACCCAUUGAGGCGUAAGGAAACUGACAGGUGGGACCCCGACUCGACCAAAAAGAGAAGGGAGCACCAUCGACCGACCAUGAUCUUCUGUGAAAGGUUCGAGUGUGAGCAUACCUGUUGGGACCCGAAAGAUGGUGAACUAUGCCUGAGCAGGGCGAAGCCAGAGGAAACUCUGGUGGAGGCUCGUAGCGAUACUGACGUGCAAAUCGUUCGUCAGACUUGGGUAUAGGGGCGAAAGACUAAUCGAACCAUCUAGUAGCUGGUUCCCUCCGAAGUUUCCCUCAGGAUAGCUGGAGCUCGUGCACCUAGUUUUAUCAGGUAAAGCGAAUGAUUAGAGGCAUCGGGGGUGUAACACCCUCGACCUAUUCUCAAACUUUAAAUAGGUAAGCCGCCGGGGUUGCUCCGUUGAACCCCGGUAGAUAAUACUGAGCUCCAAGUGGGCCAU
RNAcentral lists this ribosomal RNA (1130 nucleotides) under Leucoloma sprengelianum. Its description in RNAcentral is "eukaryotic LSU rRNA". It matches the Rfam family "Eukaryotic large subunit ribosomal RNA", at positions 47 to 1134 of the family's 3401-position model. The record is from RNAcentral. Lineage: Eukaryota; Viridiplantae; Streptophyta; Bryopsida; Dicranales; Dicranaceae.